Molecule: ribosomal RNA, 374 nt
Filed under: uncultured bacterium
Lineage: Bacteria
Description: bacterial SSU rRNA
Rfam family: Bacterial small subunit ribosomal RNA
Source: RNAcentral
UACGAAGGGAGCUAGCGUUGUUCGGAAUUACUGGGCGUAAAGGGCGCGUAGGCGGCUCUGUAAGUCAGAUGUGAAAGCCCCGGGCUUAACCUGGGAACUGCAUUUGAUACUGCAAGGCUAGAGGAUGAGAGAGGAAAGUGGAAUUACGAGUGUAGAGGUGAAAUUCGUAGAUAUUCGUAAGAACACCAGUGGCGAAGGCGGCUUUCUGGCUCAUUACUGACGCUAAGGCGCGAAAGCGUGGGGAGCAAACAGGAUUAGAUACCCUGGUAGUCCACGCUGUAAACGAUGAGUGCUAGAUGUUGGGUGGUUUACUACUCAGUGUCGCAGCUAACGCAUUAAGCACUCCGCCUGGGGAGUACGGUCGCAAGAUUAAA